RNAcentral lists this ribosomal RNA (400 nucleotides) under uncultured bacterium. RNAcentral describes it as "bacterial SSU rRNA". It matches the Rfam family "Bacterial small subunit ribosomal RNA", at positions 355 to 746 of the family's 1533-position model. The record is from RNAcentral.
UCGAGAAUCAUUCGCAAUGGGCGAAAGCCUGACGGUGCGACGUCGCGUGGAGGAUGAAGGUCUUCGGAUUGUAAACUCCUGUCAUGUGGGAUAAAUGGCCAGGGCACGAAUAGUGCCUUGGAAUGAUAGUACCACAGGAGGAAGAGACGGCUAACUCUGUGCCAGCAGCCGCGGUAAUACAGAGGUCUCGAGCGUUGUUCGGAUUUACUGGGCGUAAAGGGAGCGUAGGCGGUUUGGUGUGUUGAAUGUGAAAUCCCACAACUCAACUGUGGAAAGGCAUUCAAAACUACCAGACUAGAGUACUGGAGAGGAGAGCGGAAUUCUUGGUGUAGCGGUGAAAUGCGUAGAUAUCAAGAGGAACACCGGUGGCGAAGGCGGCUCUCUGGACAGAUACUGACGC